This 140-nucleotide small nucleolar RNA is filed under the name Dasypus novemcinctus (nine-banded armadillo). The record is from RNAcentral. Lineage: Eukaryota; Metazoa; Chordata; Mammalia; Cingulata; Dasypodidae.
GACGUCCCAGAAUUACAUCUGUAGAAUGGCUAGUAUUCUACCAGCUUCAGAGAUAGGAGGGAAAGCAAGCCUGGCAAAGAUGCCCAUUCCAUUCCCAGUUUACUCAGUAGCUGGUAAAUGGAAGAUAAUCUGCGACAGUG